UCGAGCGGAGAUAGUUGGAGCUUGCUCCAUCAUUCUUAGCGGCGGACGGGUGAGUAACACGUGGGCAACCUGCCCUGCAGAUCGGGAUAACUCCGGGAAACCGGUGCUAAUACCGAAUAGUUUGCGGCCUCUCAUGAGGCCACACGGAAAGACGGUUUCGGCUGUCACUGCAGGAUGGGCCCGCGGCGCAUUAGCUAGUUGGUGAGGUAACGGCUCACCAAGGCCACGAUGCGUAGCCGACCUGAGAGGGUGAUCGGCCACACUGGGACUGAGACACGGCCCAGACUCCUACCGGAGGCAGCAGUAGGGAAUCUUCCGCAAUGGACGAAAGUCUGACGGAGCA
RNAcentral lists this ribosomal RNA (343 nucleotides) under Planococcus rifietoensis. Its description in RNAcentral is "bacterial SSU rRNA". It matches the Rfam family "Bacterial small subunit ribosomal RNA", at positions 62 to 392 of the family's 1533-position model. Lineage: Bacteria; Bacillati; Bacillota; Bacilli; Caryophanales; Caryophanaceae. The record is from RNAcentral.